RNAcentral lists this ribosomal RNA (227 nucleotides) under uncultured bacterium. Its description in RNAcentral is "partial 16S ribosomal RNA". It matches the Rfam family "Bacterial small subunit ribosomal RNA", at positions 524 to 749 of the family's 1533-position model. The record is from RNAcentral.
UACGUAGGGUGCAAGCGUUAAUCGGAAUUACUGGGCGUAAAGCGUGCGCAGGCGGUUAUGUAAGACAGAUGUGAAAUGCCCGGGCUUAACCUGGGAACUGCAUUUGUGACUGCAUGGCUAGAGUGUGUCAGAGGGGGGUAGAAUUCCACGUGUAGCAGUGAAAUGCGUAGAUAUGUGGAGGAAUACCGAUGGCGAAGGCAGCCCCCCUGGGAUAACACUGACGCUCA